UACGGAGGGUGCAAGCGUUAUCCGGAUUUACUGGGUUUAAAGGGUGCGCAGGCGGAUAUGUAAGUCAGUGGUGAAAUCUCCAGGCUUAACCUGGAAAGUGCAGAGGGGACUGUUCAGCUAGAGGAUGGGAGAGGAGCGCGGAAUUCCCGGUGUAGCGGUGAAAUGCGUAGAGAUCGGGAGGAAGGCCGGUGGCGAAGGCGGCGCUCUGGAACAUUUCUGACGCUGAGGCUCGAAAGCGUGGGGAGCAAACAGG
RNAcentral lists this ribosomal RNA (253 nucleotides) under uncultured prokaryote. Its description in RNAcentral is "partial 16S ribosomal RNA". It matches the Rfam family "Bacterial small subunit ribosomal RNA", at positions 524 to 776 of the family's 1533-position model. The record is from RNAcentral.